This 253-nucleotide ribosomal RNA is filed under the name uncultured bacterium. RNAcentral describes it as "partial 16S ribosomal RNA". It matches the Rfam family "Bacterial small subunit ribosomal RNA", at positions 524 to 776 of the family's 1533-position model. The record is from RNAcentral.
UACGAAGGGGGCUAGCGUUGUUCGGAAUUACUGGGCGUAAAGGGCGCGUAGGCGGUGUGUCAAGUCAGGCGUGAAAGCCCCGGGCUCAACCUGGGAACCGCGCUUGAGACUGGCACGCUCGAGUUCGGGAGAGGAUGGUGGAAUUCCCAGUGUAGAGGUGAAAUUCGUAGAUAUUGGGAAGAACACCGAUGGCGAAGGCAGGUCUCUGGGCCGCAACUGACGCUGAGGAGCGAAAGCAUGGGGAGCGAACGGG